CCUACGGGUGGCAGCAGUGGGGAAUAUUGCACAAUGGGGGAAACCCUGAUGCAGCGACGCCGCGUGAGUGAAGAAGUAAUUCGUUACGUAAAGCUCUAUCAGCAGGGGAGAAACACUGACCUUACGGUCAGCAGACGGUACCUGAGUAAGAAGUCCCGGCUAACUACGUGCCAGCAGCCGCGGUAAUACGUAGGGGGCAAGAGUUAUCCGGAUUUACUGGGUGUAAAGGGGGCGUGGACGGUGCGCCAAGUCUGGAGUGAAAUGCCGCAGCUUAACUGCGGAACUGCUUUGGAAACUGGCGAACUAGAGUGCGGGAGGGGUAAGCGGAAUGCCUAGUGUAGCGGUGAAAUGCGUAGAUAUUAGGCGGAACACCGGUGGCGAAGGCGGCUUACUGGACCGUAACUGACGUUGAGGCUCGAAAGCGUGGGGAGCAAACAGGAUUAGAUACCCCUGUAGUC
Molecule: ribosomal RNA, 458 nt
Filed under: uncultured bacterium
Lineage: Bacteria
Description: partial 16S ribosomal RNA
Rfam family: Bacterial small subunit ribosomal RNA
Source: RNAcentral